AAGCAAACCGGAAGAGAGUUGUGUUAAGUGUGCGGCAACGCAUGCAGCAAGUGCGCAGGAAGAAUCCGGGAAAGAGUGGAAGCUCGUAAUUUGAGUUUGUUGGUGCAAAACUGAAGAAACACAGCCAAUCAUUUAUUUAAGACCGCCUUGACGUUUCCCUCAGCUCAGUGACUGGUUACCCAAACUCCUACCUGAUGGCCUUGACACAUAUCUCAUUGGAGAGAGAGAUGUCACAUGGAUGCUUCUAGCUUCUGGACCUAGGAACCAUCUCUCUGAAACACAAUCAUCAAGGAAGAUAGCAUCCGUAUCUCCCAAUUUCUGUGAGAGCCCAAUGAUGAUCAAAUUGCAAAACUACCACCUGUCAUAGAGUGUACAUAUCACACGUGAGGAAGCUCAGCCUGAUCUAGUUGUCUUGAAGAUCAAAGAUACCUUGCGAGAAGCCCAGACAUUCUAAACGUUGAAGAUGAACCCAACCUGGG
Molecule: long non-coding RNA, 479 nt
Organism: Cervus elaphus (red deer)
Lineage: Eukaryota; Metazoa; Chordata; Mammalia; Artiodactyla; Cervidae
Exons: 4
Source: RefSeq, a predicted model, not a curated record